This 253-nucleotide ribosomal RNA is filed under the name uncultured bacterium. RNAcentral's name for it is "partial 16S ribosomal RNA". It matches the Rfam family "Bacterial small subunit ribosomal RNA", at positions 524 to 776 of the family's 1533-position model. The record is from RNAcentral.
UACAGAGGAUGCAAGCGUUAUCCGGAAUGAUUGGGCGUAAAGCGUCUGUAGGUGGCUUUUUAAGUCCGCCGUCAAAUCCCAGGGCUCAACUCUGGACAGGCGGUGGAAACUACCAAGCUGGAGUACGGUAGGGGCAGAGGGAAUUUCCGGUGGAGCGGUGAAAUGCGUAGAGAUCCGGAAGAACACCGACGGCGAAGGCAGCGUCCUGGCCGAGUGCUGACGCUCAGGCACGAGAGCGCGGGGAGCGAACAGG